RNAcentral lists this ribosomal RNA (371 nucleotides) under Plasmodium reichenowi. RNAcentral describes it as "SSU rRNA". It matches the Rfam family "Eukaryotic small subunit ribosomal RNA", at positions 583 to 906 of the family's 1831-position model. Lineage: Eukaryota; Apicomplexa; Aconoidasida; Haemosporida; Plasmodiidae. The record is from RNAcentral.
UUCCAGCUCCAAUAGCGUAUAUUAAAAUUGUUGCAGUUAAAACGCUCGUAGUUGAAUUUCAAGGAAUCGAUAUUUUAUUGUAACUAUUUUAGGGGUUUUAUUUUUGCUACUUGCUUAAAUUCUUCCCCUAUUAUUAUGUUCUUUAAAUAACAAAGAUUCUUUUUAAAACCCCUUUUUGCUUUUUGCUUUUUGGGGUUUUGUUACUUUGAGUAAAUUAGAGUGUUCAAAGCAAACAGUUAAAGCAUUUACUGUGUUUGAAUACUAUAGCAUGGAAUAACAAAAUUGAACAAGCUGAAAUUUUGUUCUUUUUUCUUAUUUUGGCUUAGUUACGAUUAAUAGGAGUAGCUUGGGGACAUUCGUAUUCAGAUGUC